RNAcentral lists this ribosomal RNA (253 nucleotides) under uncultured bacterium. RNAcentral describes it as "partial 16S ribosomal RNA". It matches the Rfam family "Bacterial small subunit ribosomal RNA", at positions 524 to 776 of the family's 1533-position model. The record is from RNAcentral.
UGCGAAGGGGGCUAGCGUUGCUCGGAAUCACUGGGCGUAAAGCGCACGUAGGCGGAUUGCUAAGUCAGGGGUGAAAUCCUGGAGCUCAACUCCAGAACUGCCUUUGAUACUGGCGACCUUGAGUCCGGGAGAGGUGAGUGGAACUGCGAGUGUAGAGGUGAAAUUCGUAGAUAUUCGCAAGAACACCAGUGGCGAAGGCGGCUCACUGGCCCGAUACUGACGCUGAGGCACGAAAGCGUGGGGAGCAAACAGG